UGGUGUUCCAGACCCUUCCCAUCUCCUCAGCCUCUCCUGGUGUUCCAGACCGUUCCUGUCUCCCUCAGCCUCUCCUGGUGUUCCAGACCUUUCCUGUCUCCCUCAGCCUUUCCUGGUGUUCCAGACCCUUCCCGUCUCCCUCAGCCUCUCCUGGUGUUCCAGACCCUUCCCAGCUCCCUCAGCCUCCCCUGGUGUUCCAGACCCUUCCCAGCUCCCUCAGCCACUCCUCACAGGAUUACGAUGGUUUGAGUGGAAGGGACCUUAAAUCCCAUCUCAUCCAUGGGAAGGACACCUCCCGCUAUCCCAGGCUUGGAGCAACCUGGGAUCCAACCUGCCCUAGGACACUGCCAGGGAUGGGGCAGCCACACUGUGCAGGUGAAAAGGGAGGGCGCAUGGAGAUUUUUCUAGUUAUUCAGCCAAAAAGUUGUUUUCUGUGCAGCAAUGAAGAGUGAGGGGCUGCCCAACGUUGGUGUCACACUCAGACUCUUCUCAUCCAUCCCUUGUCCCACCCGUGUCCUGCUGCACACCCUGGGAAUGCUCAGUUUGCGGUCAAGCAAUAAUCCAACACUGUGAACAAGAGUCUUCCCAGGUGGACUCCGGGCCAAGCAAAACACACAAAUGGGCCAGAUGUCUCAAAUUUUCCAGCUAUAAACUGCAGCAGCUUUCUGCUGUAAAUCCAAGUGAAGCAUCUCCCUUGGGAUCUGGUGUUUAAACCCAUGGCAAUAACGGCUCUCUUAAAAAAUGAUGGGCUUAAACAAAGGAUAAAGUACCUCAAGGAUGCUGCGGGAGGGAAACAGAGAUGGACAACGGUGGGAGUUACUUCCACAAUUUUAUUUAUAUCCCCUCUCCCCAGUAGUGGAGUUCUGUAGCUCUAUUCCUUGUGCAAGGACUUCUCCUUCAGAUUUCCCACACCAUGCAGGAAGGAAUUGUGUUUGUUCCAUCAUAAUAAUAAAAUCUGUCCACAAAAGCUGUAAA
This is a long non-coding RNA of Vidua chalybeata, 975 nucleotides long. RefSeq lists it as uncharacterized. The transcript has 2 exons. Lineage: Eukaryota; Metazoa; Chordata; Aves; Passeriformes; Viduidae. The record is from RefSeq and is a predicted model, not a curated record.